This 415-nucleotide small RNA is filed under the name Pongo abelii (Sumatran orangutan). RNAcentral's name for it is "retained intron". Lineage: Eukaryota; Metazoa; Chordata; Mammalia; Primates; Hominidae. The record is from RNAcentral.
CUGACGUGGGGAUUACGUGGGGCCGCUGCCGGCUCCGGGUUGCUGGGCGGCGGCGCCGCUGCUGAGCGGCGGUCGGGCUCGCCGUCUCCACCUCCUCGCGUCCGUAAUCAGUGACGAGGUCCGCUACGUAAAUCCCUUUGCGGCGGGUAGCAACAAUUGCAGAGACAGAUGAAUCUGCAGAAUCAGAAGGUGUAAUUGAUUCUCAUAAACGUAGAGAAAUCCUUUCACGAAGACCCUCUUAUAGGAAAAUACUGAAUGAACUGUCCUCUGAUGUGCCUGGUGUUCCCAAGAUUGAAGAAGAAAGAUCAGAGGAAGAAGGAACACCACCUAGCAUUGCUACCAUGGCAGUACCAACUAGCAUAUAUCAGACUAGCACGGGGCAAUACAGUAUGUAUGCUGCAAUUCGAUAUGAUAC